UACGUAGGUGGCAAGCGUUGUCCGGAAUUAUUGGGCGUAAAGCGCGCGCAGGCGGUUUCGUAAGUCUGUCUUAAAAGUGCGGGGCUUAACCCCGUGAGGGGAUGGAAACUAUGGAACUGGAGUAUCGGAGAGGAAAGCGGAAUUCCUAGUGUAGCGGUGAAAUGCGUAGAUAUUAGGAAGAACACCAGUGGCGAAGGCGGCUUUCUGGACGACAACUGACGCUGAGGCGCGAAAGCCAGGGGAGCGAACGGG
RNAcentral lists this ribosomal RNA (252 nucleotides) under Veillonella seminalis. RNAcentral's name for it is "partial 16S ribosomal RNA". It matches the Rfam family "Bacterial small subunit ribosomal RNA", at positions 524 to 776 of the family's 1533-position model. The record is from RNAcentral. Lineage: Bacteria; Bacillati; Bacillota; Negativicutes; Veillonellales; Veillonellaceae.